RNAcentral lists this ribosomal RNA (405 nucleotides) under uncultured bacterium. RNAcentral describes it as "partial 16S ribosomal RNA". The record is from RNAcentral.
GGGGCGACGCGAGGCGCGGCGGGACGCUCGAGUUGGGGGCAAACCGACCCGCAUGCCGCGUGAGUGAAGAGGCCCUCGGGUUGUAAACACUUUUCCCUUUAACGCCUUGGGCGCGCUUUUAUCUUAUAUGAAAAUACCUUUGAAAGAAAAAUCCACUCCGAACACAUGCUCCUAUGACCGUAUUGCACGGUAUCCGUGCAGCCAGCAUCCCUCUCCUCCAGACAUCCCCGCGGCCCUACAGGAUCUACCACGCGUGACCCUCUUUGUGCGAAGACAUAUCCUCUCGGCCCCCACCAGGAUCCAUAUUUCUUCGUUAGGUGUCCUCGCAUCCCCUCCUUUACUUUCUCAAUUACGAAAAUCCUUAUACCUACGGAUUUCAUCACCUCGAACUCCCUCUAAGUUGCC